Chiloscyllium plagiosum (whitespotted bambooshark) is the source of this 122-nucleotide non-coding RNA. The record is from RefSeq and is a predicted model, not a curated record. NCBI's taxonomy places the organism in Eukaryota, Metazoa, Chordata, Chondrichthyes, Orectolobiformes, Hemiscylliidae.
AUGAAUUUCAGAACCUGCUGCUGAUUCUCUGCCUCUGAAUGAAGAUUCACCUUCACGCCGGACUGCAACUUCUUUCCUCUGUCCACCUUCUGUGCCUUGCAGGAAGUUCUGGGAUUUACAUG